CUGGUGUUCGGGUUGUCAUGCCAAUGGCACUGCCCGGUAGCUAAAUGCGGAAGAGAUAAGUGCUGAAAGCAUCUAAGCACGAAACUUGCCCCGAGAUGAGUUCUCCCUGACCCUUUAAGGGUCCUGAAGGAACGUUGAAGACGACGACGUUGAUAGGUCGGGUGUGUAAGCGCAGCGAUGCGUUGAGCUAACCGAUACUAAUGAACCGUGAGGCUUAACCUU
This 222-nucleotide ribosomal RNA is filed under the name Enterobacter hormaechei. RNAcentral describes it as "partial 23S ribosomal RNA". It matches the Rfam family "Bacterial large subunit ribosomal RNA", at positions 2709 to 2925 of the family's 2925-position model. Lineage: Bacteria; Pseudomonadati; Pseudomonadota; Gammaproteobacteria; Enterobacterales; Enterobacteriaceae. The record is from RNAcentral.